CUACGGGACGCUGCAGUGGGGAAUAUUGGACAAUGGGCGCAAGCCUGAUCCAGCCAUGCCGCGUGAGUGACGAAGGCCUUAGGGUUGUAAAGCUCUUUUGGCGGGGACGAUAAUGACGGUACCCGCAGAAUAAGCUCCGGCUAACUUCGUGCCAGCAGCCGCGGUAAUACGAAGGGAGCUAGCGUUGUUCGGAAUCACUGGGCGUAAAGCGCACGUAGGCGGAUUUGUAAGUCAGGGGUGAAAUCCCGGGGCUCAACCUCGGAACUGCCUUUGAUACUGCAAAUCUCGAGUCCGGAAGAGGUGGGUGGAAUUCCUAGUGUAGAGGUGAAAUUCGUAGAUAUUAGGAAGAACACCGGUGGCGAAGGCGGCCCACUGGUCCGGUACUGACGCUGAGGUGCGAAAGCGUGGGGAGCAAACAGGAUUAGAUACCCGGGUAGUC
This 439-nucleotide ribosomal RNA is filed under the name uncultured bacterium. Its description in RNAcentral is "partial 16S ribosomal RNA". It matches the Rfam family "Bacterial small subunit ribosomal RNA", at positions 339 to 795 of the family's 1533-position model. The record is from RNAcentral.